GUUCAGUUGACAUUUAAGCAAAUAGGUGAAAAUAAUAGUAGUACCCUCUCCCCAUGAUCCUCCCUUACUAAAGAUCAAUAGAUUCACUGUAGCCUACAUUAAACAAGGGUUAUGUAACUUGAAUUAGGAAAUAUGCAGCUGGCACUUUGCCUGGUACAGAGUCUCAUCACUGGUUGUCGGUCAUCCAACACCAUGUAGUGGCUGAGUGCGCUCCCAUGCAGAUUGUUGCGUUCUGCUCGGUGCCUUGUAGGUGAGGUGGGGCAGAGUCCCAAGAUUGUGAGGUUGUGAGCUUGAUG
Non-coding RNA from Pelobates cultripes (western spadefoot toad), 296 nucleotides. The record is from the annotation of a GenBank genome assembly. NCBI's taxonomy places the organism in Eukaryota, Metazoa, Chordata, Amphibia, Anura, Pelobatidae.